GACGAACGCUGGCGGCGUGCUUAACACAUGCAAGUCGAACGGAAAGGCCCUGCUUUUGUGGGGUGCUCGAGUGGCGAACGGGUGAGUAACACGUGAGUAACCUGCCCUUGACUUUGGGAUAACUUCAGGAAACUGGGGCUAAUACCGGAUAGGAGCUCCUGCUGCAUGGUGGGGGUUGGAAAGUUUCGGCGGUUGGGGAUGGACUCGCGGCUUAUCAGCUUGUUGGUGGGGUAGUGGCUUACCAAGGCUUUGACGGGUAGCCGGCCUGAGAGGGUGACCGGCCACAUUGGGCCUGAGCUACGGCCCAGACUCCUACGGGAGGCAGCAGUGGGGAAUAUUGAACAAUGGGCGGAAGCCUGAUGCAGCAACGCCGCGUGCGGGAUGACGGCCUUCGGGUUGUAAACCGCUUUCGCCUGUGACGAAGCGUGAGUGACGGUAAUGGGUAAAGAAGCACCGGCUAACUACGUG
RNAcentral lists this ribosomal RNA (468 nucleotides) under uncultured bacterium. Its description in RNAcentral is "partial 16S ribosomal RNA". It matches the Rfam family "Bacterial small subunit ribosomal RNA", at positions 28 to 507 of the family's 1533-position model. The record is from RNAcentral.